RNAcentral lists this transfer RNA (63 nucleotides) under Musculium lacustre. RNAcentral's name for it is "tRNA-Thr". It matches the Rfam family "tRNA". From Rfam's summary of the family: Transfer RNA (tRNA) molecules are approximately 80 nucleotides in length. Their secondary structure includes four short double-helical elements and three loops (D, anti-codon, and T loops). Further hydrogen bonds mediate the characteristic L-shaped molecular structure. tRNAs have two regions of fundamental functional importance: the anti-codon, which is responsible for specific mRNA codon recognition, and the 3' end, to which the tRNAs corresponding amino acid is attached (by aminoacyl-tRNA synthetases). tRNAs cope with the degeneracy of the genetic code in two manners: having more than one tRNA (with a specific anti-codon) for a particular amino acid; and 'wobble' base-pairing, i.e. permitting non-standard base-pairing at the 3rd anti-codon position. The record is from RNAcentral. Lineage: Eukaryota; Metazoa; Mollusca; Bivalvia; Venerida; Sphaeriidae.
UGCUAUAUAGUUUAAAUAAAAACUUUAGUUUUGUAAACUUAAGAUACAGAAUUGUUUUAGCAU